GAUGAACGCUGGCGGCGUGCCUAAUACAUGCAAGUCGAGCGAACAGACGAGGAGCUUGCUCCUCUGACGUUAGCGGUGGACGGGUGAGUAACACGUGGAUAACCUACCUAUAAGACUGGGAUAACUUCGGGAAACCGGAGCUAAUACCGGAUAAUAUAUUGAACCGCAUGGUUCAAUAGUGAAAGACGGUUUUGCUGUCACUUAUAGAUGGAUCCGCGCCGCAUUAGCUAGUUGGUAAGGUAACGGCUUACCAAGGCGACGAUGCGUAGCCGACCUGAGAGGGUGAUAGGCCACACUGGAACUGAGCCACGGUCCAGACUCCUACGGGAGGCAGCAGUAGGGAAUCUUCCGCAAUGGGCGAAAGCCUGACGGAGCAACGCCGCGUGAGUGAUGAAGGUCUUCGGAUCGUAAAACUCUGUUAUUAGGGAAGAACAAAUGUGUAAGUAACUAUGCACGUCUUGACGGUACCUAAUCAGAAAGCCACGGCUAACUACGUG
Molecule: ribosomal RNA, 497 nt
Filed under: uncultured bacterium
Lineage: Bacteria
Description: partial 16S ribosomal RNA
Rfam family: Bacterial small subunit ribosomal RNA
Source: RNAcentral